GGAGGGAAAAAGACGUGAAGGGCGCUUUAGUAAGCAUCAUAACCUUGAGAAUCCUGUGAGGGAAGUUCGAAUCUCUUCUACACGGCCCCAUGCCUCCUGCCAGCAACUUCAGUGCCUGCUUCCUUGACGUUGGACCAGCAGCCAGCUUGAGUUAGAAGAGACUUCACUAUCCUAUGUGUCCCACAAAAGAACUUGGUUAUCAAAACUAUAUUGUAACAUUAAGGAAGAGACAAAAUAUUGCUAUCACAAUGCCAGGACCAGGCAAAGGGCAGACCUGAAUUCAG
Long non-coding RNA from Echinops telfairi (small Madagascar hedgehog), 284 nucleotides. RefSeq lists it as uncharacterized. The transcript has 3 exons. Lineage: Eukaryota; Metazoa; Chordata; Mammalia; Afrosoricida; Tenrecidae. The record is from RefSeq and is a predicted model, not a curated record.